This 253-nucleotide ribosomal RNA is filed under the name uncultured bacterium. RNAcentral describes it as "partial 16S ribosomal RNA". It matches the Rfam family "Bacterial small subunit ribosomal RNA", at positions 524 to 776 of the family's 1533-position model. The record is from RNAcentral.
UACGAAGGGUGCGAGCGUUAUUCGGAAUAACUGGGUGUAAAGAGCGUGCAGGCGGUUUCUUAAGUCAGCUGUUAAAGCGCCCAGCUUAACUGGGUACAUGCGGUUGAAACUGAGAGGCUAGAGUACGGGAGAGAAGGGUAGAAUUCUCGGAGUAGCGGUAAAAUGCGUAGAUCUCGAGAGGAAUACCGGUUGCGAAGGCGGCCCUUUGGCCCGUUACUGACGCUUAAGCGCGAAAGCGUGGGGAGCAAACAGG